Small nuclear RNA from Bos grunniens (domestic yak), 103 nucleotides. The record is from Ensembl. NCBI's taxonomy places the organism in Eukaryota, Metazoa, Chordata, Mammalia, Artiodactyla, Bovidae.
AUGCUCACAUCAGCAGCACAUAUACUAAAACUGGGAGGGUGCAGAGAAGAUUAGCAUGGUCCCUGCACAAGGAUGGCACGUGUGUGAAGCAGUCCAUGUUUUU